This 427-nucleotide ribosomal RNA is filed under the name uncultured bacterium. RNAcentral's name for it is "bacterial SSU rRNA". It matches the Rfam family "Bacterial small subunit ribosomal RNA", at positions 355 to 774 of the family's 1533-position model. The record is from RNAcentral.
UAGGGAAUAUUGGACAAUGGGGGCAACCCUGAUCCAGCCAUGCCGCGUGAGUGAAGAAGGCCCUCGGGUUGUAAAGCUCUUUUGUCCGGAAAGAAAAGCAUUCGGUGAAUACCCGGAUGUUCUGACGGUACCGGAAGAAUAAGCACCGGCUAACUUCGUGCCAGCAGCCGCGGUAAUACGAAGGGUGCAAGCGUUACUCGGAAUUACUGGGCGUAAAGCGUGCGUAGGUGGUUGUUUAAGUCUGAUGUGAAAGCCCUGGGCUCAAACUGGGAAUGGCAUUGGAAACUGGGCAGCUAGAGUGCGGUAGAGGGUAGUGGAAUUCCCGGUGUAGCAGUGAAAUGCGUAGAGAUCGGGAGGAACAUCUGUGGCGAAGGCGACUGCCUGGACCAGCACUGACACUGAGGCACGAAAGCGUGGGGAGCAAACA